GAUGAACGCUGACAGAAUGCUUAACACAUGCAAGUCAACUGUGGCGGACGGUUGCGUAACGCGUAAAGAACUUUCCUCACGGAUAGGGACACCAUUUGGAAACGAAUGCUAAUACCUGAUGCUGUGAGAGAGCUUUGCGUCCCAUUAGCUAGUUGGAGAGGUAACUGCUCACCAAGGCGAGGAUGGGUAGCCGGCCUGAGAGGGUGAUCGGCCACAAGGGGACUGAGACACGGCCCUUACUGCUACGGGAGGAAGCGGUGGGGAAUAUUGGACAAUGGACCAAAGUCUGAUCAAGCAAUUCUGUGUGCAAGAUGAAGUUUUCGGAAUGUAAAGUGCUUUCAGUUGGGAAGCGUUACCAACAGAAGAAGUGACGGCUAAAUACGUGCCAGCCGCCGCGGUAAUUC
RNAcentral lists this ribosomal RNA (404 nucleotides) under uncultured bacterium. Its description in RNAcentral is "partial 16S ribosomal RNA". It matches the Rfam family "Bacterial small subunit ribosomal RNA", at positions 28 to 526 of the family's 1533-position model. The record is from RNAcentral.